Molecule: transfer RNA, 71 nt
Filed under: Bos taurus (domestic cattle)
Lineage: Eukaryota; Metazoa; Chordata; Mammalia; Artiodactyla; Bovidae
Also listed under: 1 other name
Rfam family: tRNA
About the family: Transfer RNA (tRNA) molecules are approximately 80 nucleotides in length. Their secondary structure includes four short double-helical elements and three loops (D, anti-codon, and T loops).
Source: Rfam by way of RNAcentral
UCCUGGUGGCUCAGAUGGUAAAGCGUCUGCCUGCAAUGCAGGAGACCUGGGUUCGAUUCCUGGGUCGGGAA